Long non-coding RNA from Alosa sapidissima (American shad), 1548 nucleotides. RefSeq lists it as uncharacterized. Lineage: Eukaryota; Metazoa; Chordata; Actinopteri; Clupeiformes; Clupeidae. The record is from RefSeq and is a predicted model, not a curated record. The transcript is spliced from 3 exons.
GCAGCCUCUGACAUCCCAUAAUAAACUCCUAAAAGAGAGGGAAGAAAAAUACCAGUCACAUGGUCUCCAGGGAAACCCGGGGCCACUAGUGACAGACCAUAAUAUGCUUCGGCUGACUGUCCACCUGGCCGGUUUUCUUGCACCCCACAGACUACAAAUUGCUAACAACAUCUAGUAGCUCUCAGCCUAAACAGGACUGGCAUGUCCUGGGCAAGAGACCUCAUCUGUACUGGGUGACAGGACGGCCCGGGCUCUGUAAAUAAUACACUGUAGCACGCUUGCCAGGAUCAAGUGCAACAUGUGUAGGCAAUUGAAAGAAUCAAUUUCAGACCAUUAUUGCAAGGCAUGUUUCCUCUCUAUGGGCAAUCAACAAAUAGUUUUACUACUCCAGUCUGGCUGUUGUGCUAUGAAUCAUGACUGGUAGGAAUUGGUUUAAUUUGUACACUUUGUGAUGAGUUUGCUGUUUUUCUGCUUUGCUACCCAUGAAAUGGGCUGAGAGGCUGAGACCGUGGGAGUCAUCAAUGGAGUAAUGACCGAAGAAACAGACUCCCCGGCAAAUGAAUGAUGAGACUGAUGCAGCAAUUUAUUGUAAUGAAGACAACUUGUAGUCGUCUAGUUUGUAUACUGGUAAUAACAGUCUUGUUAUUUAAUAGACAAACCUUGUUUUUCUUGUAAUAGAUUUAUUACAUGCCGCAGGAUGUCUGUUCCCAGACCAAGUGGAAAACAAAUCUUACUGGUUAUUCUUGCUAGGCUUCAGCUGACUCUAGUAGGGAUUGAGUCCAGAUGUGCUGGCCCGUUCCAUAUCAGAGCCAAAACUGCUCCUGCUUUAUCUGCCAGCCUGAUGAGGUUUUGAGGAGCGUAAUUUCAAGAACAUGUUCCAGCAAACACUUCCCAAUGCAAGGCAAGUGAUGCGGAAGUCAAAAUAAUGUCAGCAGAAAUGAAAGAACGGGAUUGGAAUUUGGAGAAGAAUCACAAGUCAUUCGGUCAGCCUGACCCUCACAGUACCCAUCAUCAGCCCCGCUCUCUGGCCCAACAGAGACGCUCGAACCCAACAACCUCAGUGUCCGAUGCUCUGUUCCAGCUGGCCGCAUGUUCGUUCCUCCUGCCUGGACCAGCCCACCAACUCACAGCACAUCCAUCCUCCACCUCGGCCCAUGUGUCUGGCUCCCCGGCCCAGCUUACUCGAGCAGCUACAGUACAUCAUCGGCUGGGCAAGCAAACCCUAACCCUGCCAGAGCCAGGGGCUCUCCUCUAAAGGAGAUUUAACCUGAGCUUUUUGUUUUACUUGUAACGGGAUCCCCAUCGCUUCAGCUGUUGGCUUGGUUUUGGGGGAGCAUGAGGAGUUUGUUUGUAGUGUUAGUUAGUGUCUGUCCUAAUGGCCUCGUUAAGAAGAGCUUUGUUUGGGUAAAACUGGGGUGACGUAACACUGUAUCACUGAUGAGUUUCAUAUAGAUGACUGAGUUUACUAAACACAAUCUAUGUAUGUACUGAUGUACUGUACAUCUGCCACCAUGUCCCCCUCUCUACCCCCCCCCCCCCCUCCCACAC